UGUGAAGAUCAAAGGAGAAAAUUCAUCAAA
This 30-nucleotide non-coding RNA is filed under the name Mus musculus (house mouse). Lineage: Eukaryota; Metazoa; Chordata; Mammalia; Rodentia; Muridae. The record is from RNAcentral.